AAAAGAAGAAUCGAAACACAAUAGGACCAGAUCUGUACUUGUGAGAAAGCUCGCUCCGCUGCCUUCCCGCUUCCUCGCUCACACAUACACACUGUAGCUGAAAACACGUGCUUGAUUUUUUUUCUUUUUUUUUUUUUUAACCAGACAAGCCUGGGUUUGAAUCCUGUCAGGCCGCAGGAGCUUGGACAAGCUCUGAGAGGCUUACAAUGGCAGAAGAUGGAUGGAGAAGAUUAGCCCUGAGCUAACAUCUGCUGCCAAUCCUGCUGUUUUUGCUGAGGAAGACUGGCCCUGAGCUAACAUCCGUGCCCAUCUUCCUCUACUUUAUAUGUGGGAUGCCUACCACAGCAUGGC
RNAcentral lists this long non-coding RNA (351 nucleotides) under Equus caballus (horse). Its description in RNAcentral is "lncRNA (ENSECAG00000059729.1)". Lineage: Eukaryota; Metazoa; Chordata; Mammalia; Perissodactyla; Equidae. The record is from RNAcentral.